UCAGGUACAGACAGGAAAUAUUCAUUUGGACAUAUACAUUGAUUAGUCGUCUGUAAUCUGAUGUAAGGUUGCAAAAUCUAAAAGAACACGUGAUGGCGAUAAGACCUUUCAGCAUUUUUUUAUUCACCAUGGUCAAUGUAUGGAAAUUCAGCAAAGGAGUGGAAACUCUUACGUGUUCAUCCUCAAGUUCUAUUCAAAUUGGUUCAACAACCACCACAACUUUCCAAUUUGGAGAUGGCAGCAAAACCUA
This is a long non-coding RNA of Saccostrea echinata, 250 nucleotides long. RefSeq lists it as uncharacterized. NCBI's taxonomy places the organism in Eukaryota, Metazoa, Mollusca, Bivalvia, Ostreida, Ostreidae. The transcript is spliced from 3 exons. The record is from RefSeq and is a predicted model, not a curated record.